Molecule: long non-coding RNA, 876 nt
Filed under: Chinchilla lanigera (long-tailed chinchilla)
Lineage: Eukaryota; Metazoa; Chordata; Mammalia; Rodentia; Chinchillidae
Description: lncRNA (ENSCLAG00000023965.1)
Source: RNAcentral
UUCAAAAAAAAAGUUCCUCUAUACACGCAUUUAUUUGCUAGUGAAAAACUGAACUAGCACAUUUCCUUUUAUUGUGAUUUUUUUUUUUUUUUUUUUUUUUUUGUAUCGGAACUCGAACUCACGACCUCUGGCUUGCCAGGCAAGCGCUUAUGCCGCUGAGCUACAUCCCUGACCCUCUUUCUAUAUUCUAGAUGCGAGUCUUCUGUCUGAGGAGUAGCUGGCAAAACCUUUCCCCUUCAUGGGUCAUUUCCUUUGCCAUGCAGAACAACUCCACUCUUGGUGCGUGGACUGUCAAGGAAUUUGAAGCCCUGUGCUAAGCCACAACCGGCUCCUGGGUGGAAGAAUCUGUGGGUGAUUUAGGCAGAGACAACAGCGCAAGUAGAGGAGGCCAGCUCAGAGUCCCUGUGACCCGGGAAAGAAGCGAUGGAGAAGGAGCCCCUGGCCACAACCACUCCCUGGCCAGAGCUGCUCUCCACCUUUCUCUACUCUGGAAGUCGCUGCUGGCCUCGCCCAUCCGGGGUCACACGGGAAAAUGCCAGGGCCUCCGUCUACGUGGACCGGGAUGAUGUCCAGCCCUCCCCGUGCCCUGCUGGAAGGCGGCUGAAGGCCGAAGUCCUGCUGACCGCCACCUCCACACACUGUCACCAGCAGCUGUACUUUGGACCUCUCCAGUGCCUGCGCUAAGGGUGGUUUCAAAAGCCCGGCCGGAGGAGAGCCGGCGACAGGAUCUAAGGACUGGGACCUCAUCGCUCCGUCAUGGGGAGUCUGCCCAGUAGGAGCAAGGCCCUGGGUCUGAUUCCCCACCGCCACACACGCAGACACUGUUGGCGAAAGGCUGAGGAAACUUACCAAAUUCUAGAUAUUCAGAGAUCUCUU